AUUGAACGCUGGCGGCGUGCUUAACACAUGCAAGUCGAUCGGUAACAGGUGUAGCAAUACAUGCUGACGAGAGGCGGACAGGUGAGUAAUGCUUGGGAAUCUGCCUAUUAGUGGGGGACAACCCGGGGAAACUCGGGCUAAUACCGCAUACGCUCUACGGAGGAAAGCCGGGGACCGCAAGGCCUGGCGCUAAUAGAUGAGCCCAAGUCGGAUUAGCUAGUUGGUAGGGAACGGCCUACCAAGGCGACAAUCCGUAGCUGGUCUGAGAGGACGACCAGCCACACCGGAACUGAGACACGGUCCGGACUCCUACGGGAGGCAGCAGUGGGGAAUAUUGGACAAUGGGGGCAACCCUGAUCCAGCGACGCCGCGUGGGUGAAGAAGGCCUGCGGGUUGUAAAGCCCUUUCGGUGGGGAAGAAAAGUCUCGACCUAAUACGUCGGGACCUUGACGUAACCCACUAAAGAAGCACCGGCUAACUCUGUGCCAGCAG
This 492-nucleotide ribosomal RNA is filed under the name uncultured bacterium. Its description in RNAcentral is "bacterial SSU rRNA". It matches the Rfam family "Bacterial small subunit ribosomal RNA", at positions 29 to 514 of the family's 1533-position model. The record is from RNAcentral.